RNAcentral lists this transfer RNA (71 nucleotides) under Blastochloris sp. RNAcentral describes it as "tRNA-Gly". It matches the Rfam family "tRNA". Rfam says of the family: Transfer RNA (tRNA) molecules are approximately 80 nucleotides in length. Their secondary structure includes four short double-helical elements and three loops (D, anti-codon, and T loops). Further hydrogen bonds mediate the characteristic L-shaped molecular structure. tRNAs have two regions of fundamental functional importance: the anti-codon, which is responsible for specific mRNA codon recognition, and the 3' end, to which the tRNAs corresponding amino acid is attached (by aminoacyl-tRNA synthetases). tRNAs cope with the degeneracy of the genetic code in two manners: having more than one tRNA (with a specific anti-codon) for a particular amino acid; and 'wobble' base-pairing, i.e. permitting non-standard base-pairing at the 3rd anti-codon position. The record is from RNAcentral. Lineage: Bacteria; Pseudomonadati; Pseudomonadota; Alphaproteobacteria; Hyphomicrobiales; Blastochloridaceae.
GCGCCCGUGAUUUAGUGGUAGAAUGCGAGCUUCCCAAGCUUGAUGUGAGGGUUCGAUUCCCUCCGGGCGCA